GCGGGCCGUGAGAGCGGGAGCCCGGAGAUGGGCACUGAGACAAGGGCCCAGGCCCUACGGGGCGCAGCAGUCGCGAAAACUUUGCAAUACACGAAAGUGUGACAGGGCUAUCCCGAGUGCCAUCCGCUGAGGAAGGCUUUUACCCAGUCUAGAACGCUGGGGGAAUAAGGAGAGGGCAAGUCUGGUGUCAGCCGCCGCGGUAAUACCAGCUCUCCGAGUGGUGUGGAUGUUUAUUGGGCCUAAAGCAUCCGUAGCUGGCUAAGUUAGUCCCUUGUUAAAUCCACCGAAUCAAUCGUUGGAUUGCGGGGGAUACUGCUCGGCUAGGGGACGGGAGAGGCAGACGGUAUUUCCGGGGUAAGGGUGAAAUCUUAUAAUCCCGGGAAGACCACCAGUGGCGAAGGCUGUCUGCUAGAACGCGCCCGA
Molecule: ribosomal RNA, 423 nt
Filed under: uncultured crenarchaeote
Lineage: Archaea; Thermoproteati; Thermoproteota
Description: bacterial SSU rRNA
Rfam family: Archaeal small subunit ribosomal RNA
Source: RNAcentral